AUUGAACGCUGGCGGCAUGCCUUACACAUGCAAGUCGAACGGCAGCGGACCUUCGGGUGCCGGCGAGUGGCGAACGGGUGAGUAAUAUAUCGGAACGUACCUUUCAGUGGGGGAUAACGUAGCGAAAGUUACGCCAAUACCGCAUAUUCUGUGAGCAGGAAAGCAGGGGAUCGCAAGACCUUGCGCUGAUUGAGCGGCCGAUAUCAGAUUAGCUAGUUGGUGAGGUAAAGGCUCACCAAGGCGACGAUCUGUAGCGGGUCUGAGAGGAUGAUCCGCCACACUGGAACUGAGACACGGUCCAGACUCCUACGGGAGGCAGCAGUGGGGAAUUUUGGACAAUGGGCGCAAGCCUGAUCCAGCCAUGCCGCGUGAGUGAAGAAGGCC
RNAcentral lists this ribosomal RNA (384 nucleotides) under uncultured bacterium. RNAcentral's name for it is "bacterial SSU rRNA". It matches the Rfam family "Bacterial small subunit ribosomal RNA", at positions 30 to 416 of the family's 1533-position model. The record is from RNAcentral.